RNAcentral lists this ribosomal RNA (429 nucleotides) under Gemmatimonadota bacterium. Its description in RNAcentral is "Gemmatimonadetes bacterium partial 16S ribosomal RNA". It matches the Rfam family "Bacterial small subunit ribosomal RNA", at positions 355 to 776 of the family's 1533-position model. Lineage: Bacteria; Pseudomonadati; Gemmatimonadota. The record is from RNAcentral.
UCGGGAAUCUUCGGCAAUGGACGAAAGUCUGACCGAGCAACGCCGCGUGAGUGAAGAAGGUUUUCGGAUCGUAAAACUCUGUUGUUAGAGAAGAACAAGGACGUUAGUAACUGAACGUCCCCUGCCGGUAUCUAACCAGAAAGCCACGGCUAACUACGUGCCAGCAGCCGCGGUAAUACGUAGGUGGCAAGCGUUGUCCGGAUUUAUUGGGCGUAAAGCGAGCGCAGGCGGUUUCUUAAGUCUGAUGUGAAAGCCCCCGGCUCAACCGGGGAGGGUCAUUGGAAACUGGGAGACUUGAGUGCAGAAGAGGAGAGUGGAAUUCCAUGGGUAGCGGUGAAAUGCGUAGAUAUAUGGAGGAACACCAGUGGAGAAGGCGGCUCUCUGGUCUGUAACUGACGCGGAGGCUCGAAAGCGUGGGGAGCAAACAGG